ACUGAAAAAGAUGGUUCCUCUUUUCUUUCUCAGAAACUCUUGAGAUUCUAUGAAUGAGCUUGAGCUGUCCUCAAAUGGCCGUUCAUCGUCUUCCUCUCCCAAAAUCCACUUUCAGAAGUGGAGUUCUCGCAUCAACAUUCGCAUCUGCAACUCCUUCGGUCACUCACACUAUCUAUUCGCUCCCCAAAUUUCGUUCCAAUACUCCCCUUCGAUCCCUCCAAACCCAUAUUACUCCAGAACUUCCUCACCACGAUCCUGUCUGUUCUUCAUUCUCUCCCUCGGAUUCGUUUCUAGUGGACAAGAUUUUGUUCAAUUUGAAGCAGAAUAAUGUAAGUUAUUUGUCCAAUUCUCUUUUCCGCCUGAACCCUUCACUUUUACUCGAAGUUCUCUGUAGGUGUCGUGAAAAUUUACAUUUGGGCUUAAAAUUUAUUGAUUUGGUUUCUUCUAAUUGCCCAAAUUUCAAGCAUUCGUCGCUUUCUUUGAGUGCAAUGGUUCAUUUUUUAGUGCGCGGCAGGAGGCUUUCAGAAGCCCAAGCUUGCAUUCUUAGGAUGGUGAGGAAGAGCGGCGUCUCACGAGUUGAGGUAGUCGAAUCCUUAAUUUCGACUAGUGUUAAUUUUGGGUCGAUUGGUUUGGUUUCUGAUUUGCUAGUAAGGACUUAUGUGCAAGCUAGAAAGUUAAGAGAAGGGUCUGAAGCAUUUCGAAUUUUGAGGAGCAAAGGAGUUUCUGUUUCUAUCAAUGCUUGUAACAGUCUCCUUGGUGGUCUUGUGAAGAUUGGGUGGGUUGAUUUAGCUUGGGAAAUAUAUGGGGAAGUUGUGAGAGGGGGUAUUGAGUUGAAUGUUUAUACACUGAAUAUUAUGGUCAAUGCUCUGUGUAAAGACCGGAAAAUUGAGAAUGUGAACUUGUUCUUAUCAGACAUGGAAGAGAAAGGAGUUUUUCCUGACAUUGUGACAUAUAAUACUCUCAUCAAUGCUUACUGUCGUGAAGGACUUGUUGAAGAAGCCUUCCAACUGUUGAAUUCAAUCUCGAGUAAGGGUAUGGAACCAGGCCUUCUAACUUAUAAUGCUAUCAUAAAUGGCCUAUGUAAGAUAGGCAAGUAUGAAAGGGCAAAGGAUGUUUUGAACGAGAUGGUGCAACUUGGGUUAAGGCCUGAUGCUGCUACGUAUAACACAUUGCUAGUUGAGAUUUGUCGAAGAGAUAAUAUUUUAGAAGCUCAAGAAAUAUUUGACAAAAUGUCACGUCAUGGUGUUCUUCCUGAUCUGGUUAGUUUUAGUUCUCUGCUUGGUGUGCUAGCAAGGAAUGGGCAUCUUGAUCAGGCUUUUAUGCAUUUUAGAGAGAUGAAAAGUAUUGGUCUAGUGCCUGAUAAUGUUAUUUAUACUAUUCUCAUAGAUGGGUUUUGUCGAAAUGGUGCUAUUUCAGAUGCUUUAAAAAUGAGGGAUGAGAUGCUUGCUCAAGGUUGUUUUAUGGAUGUGGUUGCGUAUAAUACUAUUUUGAAUGGAUUAUGCAAGAAGAAGAUGUUUGCUGAUGCAGAUAUGUUAUUUAAUGAAAUGGUUGAGAGGGGUGUGUUUCCAGACUUUUAUACUUUCACCACACUCAUUCAUGGAUAUUGCAAGGAUGGAAAUAUGGAUAAAGCGCUGAAUUUGUUUGGAACAAUGGUUCGUACAAACCUCAAGCCAGAUAUAGUGACAUACAACACGUUGAUUGAUGGCUUUUGCAAAGUAGGCGGAAUGGAAAGGGCCAAGGAGUUGUGGGAUGAUAUGAUCAGGAAAGAUAUUCUCCCUAACCACAUUUCCUACGGAAUUGUAAUAAACGGAUUUUGUAGCUCAGGCCAUUUAUCUGAGGCAUGGCAUUUGUGUGACCAGAUGGUUGAACGGGGUAUCAAACCCAAUCUUGUCACUUGCAAUACUUUAAUUAAGGGAUACUGCCGUUCUGGUGAUAUGCCAAAGGCAUAUGAAUAUUUGAGCCAAAUGAUAUCAAAUGGAAUAAUUCCUGAUAGCAUCUCAUAUAAUACUCUUAUUGAUGGAUAUUUAAAAGAAGAUAACUUAGAAAAAGCUUUUGUAUUAAUUAAUGAGAUGGAAAAACAAGGGCUCCAACUUGAUGUUAUUACAUAUAAUGUAAUUUUGAAUGGAUUCUGUGCAAAAGGAAGAAUGCAAGAGGCUGAGCAGGUAUUAAAGAAAAUGAUUGAGAAUGGUAUAAAUCCUGACAGAGCCACAUACUCUUCUCUGAUAAAUGGUCAUGUCAGCCAAGACAAUAUGAAGGAUGCAUUUCGUUUCCAUGAUGAAAUGCUCCAACGAGGACUUGUGCCUGAUGAUAGAUUUUAAAUUUGCACGUCACUGGAUGCAUGUCGACUAUUUAAUUAAGGCAAAGGGAUACUUCACAUAUAAUCUGAACCUGGAUGCUGAUACUUUAGCUUUGAUGGCUUUGACUCCUUGAUUACAGAGAAUUAAAUUCUAAUCAUCACAGGUAAAAAUGAGAGAAAACUUGUGUAUAAGAGUUGAUCACGAGUUGAGUAGAUCAUCACAAAGAGAUCGGAUUGUAAAGGAGCCAUUUGAUCCUGGCAGCCAAAACCUUUUGGUUGCUCCAUCGAGGAAUGAAAGGUAGAGGGAAAACAAAAGAGGGAUCUGAUUCAUGUAGAUCAAUCUCCCAAGACGUCUUAUAAAGCCAAGGUCCCAAUUAUUUGUUGCUAAGUUCUAACUUCCAAGAAUCUUUAAUAGAGGAUGAGGAAAGCCAAGGCAGUGGGAGGUUUUUUCUGACAAAGAAUGCAUCGAUUCCUUGGAGAUAAAUCAUAUUCUAGCUCAAGAUUUUCAUUUCUGCGUUCUUUUCUUAAAAGAACCUGAUCUACUGCAUCUUGGUUCAUUUCGAUCCUAUCAAGAGAUUGUGGUUUGCUAUUACCCUAACUCUUCUUGACAAGGUUAAGUUGGGUUGGAUUGAAAAAAAAGAUGUUGUAGGAUUUUUCCAUUGUUUCAGUCAUUUGUCUGUCAAAUAACAUUCGACGCGUGUUCUUUCUCCCUCCCAUUUUUGCACUUCCUUUUGAUAUUUUAAGUUAUGUACUUUCUCUAACAUUCAAGCUCAAGUUUUGUUUACAUUUUCUUUGAGUUCUUUAAUUUCCAGCUUAAUCUUUUACAUCAUAAGUAUAACAAGUGUGUUUUGUUUCCUUAAAAACAAGUGUGUUUUAUUUCAUUAGGUUCAAUAAACAAGUUUUUCUUCCUCAAUUUUAUUUUGCC
Benincasa hispida (wax gourd) is the source of this 3221-nucleotide RNA transcript. It is a transcript of the gene named Tetratricopeptide repeat (TPR)-like superfamily protein, with no coding region annotated. Lineage: Eukaryota; Viridiplantae; Streptophyta; Magnoliopsida; Cucurbitales; Cucurbitaceae. The record is from RefSeq and is a predicted model, not a curated record.